This 236-nucleotide unclassified non-coding RNA is filed under the name air metagenome. RNAcentral's name for it is "partial contains small subunit ribosomal RNA, internal transcribed spacer 1, and 5.8S ribosomal RNA". The stretch from base 1 to 46 matches the Rfam family "Eukaryotic small subunit ribosomal RNA", at positions 1786 to 1831 of the family's 1831-position model. The record is from RNAcentral.
AAGUCGUAACAAGGUUUCCGUAGGUGAACCUGCGGAAGGAUCAUUACCGCUUGCUCCGCGGCGCCGCCCUUCGGGGGGAGCCGCAGCAUGCAACCCUUGCCUAUGUAUACCUUUUGUUAUUCCCUCGGCGGGGCGACCCGCCGCCGGGGAGCAAUCAAACCCCUUUGCAUCAGCAUCAAAACUUCUGAAUCAAAACAAAACAAUCACAACUUUCAACAAUGGAUCUCUUGGUUCUG